UCGUCACAAGAAUUUUGCAUUGGUUACCAUUUAGUUUUCACCAGUUGUUAAAGACUAACCCUAAACCUGAUCUAAACUUGAUCCACACCUUAGUUCUACACCUAAACCGGCUUAACCAAAGUACAGCACUUCAUGUUAUGGGGUCCAGAGCCAGGGUCCUCAUAACCUAGUAUCUAUUGAAACAAAUAGGCAUUAAAAGGUGGGGAAUGCUAAAACACACACUCUCUACACACGCAGAUAUUCACUUGGUUAAGGUGUGUACACCAUGUUGGGCUGUGGCUGCCACUGAAUGCAUCUCAUCACUGAGCAUCAUGAGCCUUCAGUGACGUUGUUGUUACAUGCAUAAUGUUUGUCACUGAGGUUUAUCGCCUCUGUUUUUUCUCUCUUUCUGCAGGUGUAGAAGCAGAUUCUUGUACCUUUCCUCACGUUUUUUUCUGUUGCGUUUUUCUCUUUUUUCUCCGUCUCUGUGUCUAUUGCAUUUGAAAUAAACACAAAGCAAUUUAUCAUUUUUAUCUUUAUAUCAAGUGGGGCAUUAUAACGAAAGCUGUAACACUCUACUUGUGAAAGUAAAUCUGUUGCGUUUUUCAAUUCUGAGUGCCGCCGCUGAACCGUACAAGGGAAAAUGAAUAUAUAAGUACAUAAAGCCCAUGCAUGCAGUCAUAUAUUGACAUUAUGGUCACCAAAAAUGCUGUUAUUUUUCAGUGUACAGCUGAUUGGUUUAGAUCAGACAACAAGCACAAACAUUGCAUUUAAUAGAUGCUGCUGUUUAAAUAA
Molecule: long non-coding RNA, 774 nt
Organism: Xiphophorus hellerii (green swordtail)
Lineage: Eukaryota; Metazoa; Chordata; Actinopteri; Cyprinodontiformes; Poeciliidae
Exons: 2
Source: RefSeq, a predicted model, not a curated record